CCUACGGGAGGCAGCAGUGGGGAAUAUUGGGCAAUGGAGGAAACUCUGACCCAGCGACGCCGCGUGAGGGAUGAAGGCCUUCGGGUUGUAAACCUCUUUCAGUAGGGAAGAAGCGAAAGUGACGGUACCUACAGAAGAAGCACCGGCUAACUAUGUGCCAGCAGCCGCGGUAAUACAUAGGGUGCAAGCGUUGUCCGGAAUUAUUGGGCGUAAAGAGCUCGUAGGUGGUUCGAUACGUCGGAUGUGAAAAUCAGGGGCUCAACCCCUGACCUGCAUCCGAUACGGUCGAGCUAGAGUUUGGUAGGGGAGACUGGAAUUCCUGGUGUAGCGGUGGAAUGCGCAGAUAUCAGGAGGAACACCGAUGGCGAAGGCAGGUCUCUGGGCCAAUACUGACACUGAGGAGCGAAAGCGUGGGGAGCGAACAGGAUUAGAUACUCUGGUAGUCCACGCCGUAAACGGUGGGCGCUAGUUGUGCGAACCUUCCACGGUUUGUGCGACGCAGCUAACGCAUUAAGCGCCCCGCCUGGGGAGUACGAUCGCAAGNUUAAAACUCAAAGGAAUUGACGG
Molecule: ribosomal RNA, 567 nt
Filed under: uncultured bacterium
Lineage: Bacteria
Description: bacterial SSU rRNA
Rfam family: Bacterial small subunit ribosomal RNA
Source: RNAcentral